This 253-nucleotide ribosomal RNA is filed under the name uncultured bacterium. RNAcentral describes it as "partial 16S ribosomal RNA". It matches the Rfam family "Bacterial small subunit ribosomal RNA", at positions 524 to 776 of the family's 1533-position model. The record is from RNAcentral.
UACGUAGGGUGCAAGCGUUAAUCGGAAUUACUGGGCGUAAAGCGUGCGCAGGCGGUUUUGUAAGUCUGUCGUGAAAUCCCCGGGCUUAACCUGGGAAUGGCAUUUGUGACUGGAAGGCUAGAGUGUGUCAGAGGGGGGUAGAAUUCCACGUGUAGCAGUGAAAUGCGUAGAGAUGUGGAGGAACACCGAUGGCGAAGGCAGCCCCCUGGGUCAAGAUUGACGCUCAUGCACGAAAGCGUGGGGAGCAAACAGG